CUAGUAAUCGCGGAUCAGCAUGCCGCGGUGAAUACGUUCCCGGGCCUUGUACACACCGCCCGUCACACCAUGAGAGUCGGGAACACCCGAAGUCCGUAGCCUAACCGCAAGGGGGGCGCGGCCGAAGGUGGGUUCGAUAAUUGGGGUGAAGUCGUAACAAGGUAUC
This 166-nucleotide ribosomal RNA is filed under the name uncultured bacterium. RNAcentral's name for it is "partial 16S ribosomal RNA". It matches the Rfam family "Bacterial small subunit ribosomal RNA", at positions 1335 to 1500 of the family's 1533-position model. The record is from RNAcentral.